AAUGAAGUGGCUGAAUCAAGGCGAUAAACUGUAAAUUUAUUUAUGAAUUUAAAUUCCUUCAUUA
RNAcentral lists this transfer RNA (64 nucleotides) under Epiverta chelonia. RNAcentral describes it as "tRNA-Tyr". It matches the Rfam family "tRNA". Rfam says of the family: Transfer RNA (tRNA) molecules are approximately 80 nucleotides in length. Lineage: Eukaryota; Metazoa; Arthropoda; Insecta; Coleoptera; Coccinellidae. The record is from RNAcentral.